This 253-nucleotide ribosomal RNA is filed under the name uncultured bacterium. RNAcentral describes it as "partial 16S ribosomal RNA". It matches the Rfam family "Bacterial small subunit ribosomal RNA", at positions 524 to 776 of the family's 1533-position model. The record is from RNAcentral.
UACGUAGAUGGCAAGCGUUGUCCGGAUUUACUGGGCGUAAAGAGCGCGCAGGCGGUCGUUCAAGUCGCGUGUGAAAGCCCCCGGCUCAACUGGGGAGGGUCACGCGAUACUGAUCGACUCGAAGGCAGGAGAGGGUAGUGGAAUUCCCGGUGUAGUGGUGAAAUGCGUAGAUAUCGGGAGGAACACCAGUGGCGAAGGCGACUACCUGGCCUGUUCUUGACGCUGAGGCGCGAAAGCUAGGGGAGCAAACGGG